GAUGAACGCUGGCGGCGUGCCUAAUACAUGCAAGUCGAGCGAACAGACGAGGAGCUUGCUCCUCUGACGUUAGCGGCGGACGGGUGAGUAACACGUGGAUAACCUACCUAUAAGACUGGGAUAACUUCGGGAAACCGGAGCUAAUACCGGAUAAUAUAUUGAACCGCAUGGUUCAAUAGUGAAAGACGGUUUUGCUGUCACUUAUAGAUGGAUCCGCGCUGCAUUAGCUAGUUGGUAAGGUAACGGCUUACCAAGGCGACGAUGCGUAGCCGACCUCAGAGGGUGAUCGGCCACACUGGAACUGAAACACGGUCCAGACUCCUACGGGAGGCAGCAGUAGGGAAUCUUCCGCAAUGGGCGAGAACCUGACGGAGCAACGCCGCGUGAGUGAUGACGGUCUUCGGAUCGUAAAACUCUGUUAUUAGGGAAGAACAAAUUUGUAAGUAACUAUGCACGUCUUGACGGUACCUAAUCAGAAAGCCACGGCUAACUACGUG
This 497-nucleotide ribosomal RNA is filed under the name uncultured bacterium. RNAcentral's name for it is "partial 16S ribosomal RNA". It matches the Rfam family "Bacterial small subunit ribosomal RNA", at positions 28 to 507 of the family's 1533-position model. The record is from RNAcentral.